Anthonomus grandis grandis is the source of this 567-nucleotide long non-coding RNA. RefSeq lists it as uncharacterized. The transcript has 2 exons. The record is from RefSeq and is a predicted model, not a curated record. Lineage: Eukaryota; Metazoa; Arthropoda; Insecta; Coleoptera; Curculionidae.
UACGAAAUUGCUUUUCAUAUGUAAAUAUUUUGGUCGUAUUUAUUGUCAAUGGCUUCUCGUUUAUCUUAUAUUAUUUCCUGUCUUUGAAAUAAUAUAAGUGAUAUGACUGUUUAUCCAAUUUAGAGCUCUAUACCUAAUAUUAAUUUAAAUGAAAUUUAUUUGUAGCGUUGUUUUAAUUUUUAAAUAGGUUACCCUCAGUGAAUCAAGAUGGUAGAAAGUCUCCCAGGUCACGUCUUGGAUGAAACAUUACAAAAGCCGUUAGAAGCAUCGCCUAGACCCAAAGGUGGAACAAGGAAAGAACGAGCGGCAGGCAUGCUUCGCGACAUGUUGGGGCAUACGUAGAGAGUUGGCGAAUGUUCCGGAACAGAGCUCUACCUAAUAAAUAAGAUGCUCUUGCUACUAGGACGUUAGUAAUUAAUUAAAUAUUGGCGCGACUUUUAAAUUGAAAUAAAUAGUAGGUAAUAAAUACAGUCCAAAUAAAUGUUUCUAGUAGUCUUCAUUUUAUUCCGUACAUGUAAUAUAAUUAUGUUAUAAGUUUGUAAUAAACUAGUUGAGUCUUUUUGGGUA